AUUGAACGCUGGCGGCAUGCUUUACACAUGCAAGUCGAACGGGCUUGGGGGCUUGCUCCCAAGUUAGUGGCGAACGGGUGAGUAAUACAUCGGAACGUACCGUGUAGUGGGGGAUAACGUAGCGAAAGUUACGCUAAUACCGCAUACGAUCUACGGAUGAAAGCAGGGGACCUUCGGGCCUUGUGCUAUACGAGCGGCCGAUGUCUGAUUAGCUAGUUGGUGAGGUAAAGGCUCACCAAGGCGACGAUCAGUAGCGGGUCUGAGAGGAUGAUCCGCCACACUGGGACUGAGACACGGCCCAGACUCCUACGGGAGGCAGCAGUGGGGAAUUUUGGACAAUGGGCGAAAGCCUGAUCCAGCCAUGCCGCGUGUCUGAAGAAGGCCUUCGGGUUGUAAGGAC
Molecule: ribosomal RNA, 400 nt
Filed under: uncultured bacterium
Lineage: Bacteria
Description: bacterial SSU rRNA
Rfam family: Bacterial small subunit ribosomal RNA
Source: RNAcentral